This 486-nucleotide ribosomal RNA is filed under the name Escherichia coli. RNAcentral describes it as "partial 23S ribosomal RNA". It matches the Rfam family "Bacterial large subunit ribosomal RNA", at positions 2155 to 2640 of the family's 2925-position model. Lineage: Bacteria; Pseudomonadati; Pseudomonadota; Gammaproteobacteria; Enterobacterales; Enterobacteriaceae. The record is from RNAcentral.
CUUUGAAGUGUGGACGCCAGUCUGCAUGGAGCCGACCUUGAAAUACCACCCUUUAAUGUUUGAUGUUCUAACGUUGACCCGUAAUCCGGGUUGCGGACAGUGUCUGGUGGGUAGUUUGACUGGGGCGGUCUCCUCCUAAAGAGUAACGGAGGAGCACGAAGGUUGGCUAAUCCUGGUCGGACAUCAGGAGGUUAGUGCAAUGGCAUAAGCCAGCUUGACUGCGAGCGUGACGGCGCGAGCAGGUGCGAAAGCAGGUCAUAGUGAUCCGGUGGUUCUGAAUGGAAGGGCCAUCGCUCAACGGAUAAAAGGUACUCCGGGGAUAACAGGCUGAUACCGCCCAAGAGUUCAUAUCGACGGCGGUGUUUGGCACCUCGAUGUCGGCUCAUCACAUCCUGGGGCUGAAGUAGGUCCCAAGGGUAUGGCUGUUCGCCAUUUAAAGUGGUACGCGAGCUGGGUUUAGAACGUCGUGAGACAGUUCGGUCCCUA